RNAcentral lists this ribosomal RNA (183 nucleotides) under Triticum aestivum (bread wheat). RNAcentral's name for it is "partial small subunit ribosomal RNA". The record is from RNAcentral. Lineage: Eukaryota; Viridiplantae; Streptophyta; Magnoliopsida; Poales; Poaceae.
AAAGAAGGGCGGGCGGUAGAGAUCACAGACUACAGGCCCAUUAGUUUAAUCCACUUGAUCGCAAAGCUCAUCUCCAAGGUCCUAUCCAUUAGGCUAGCAUCCGUCAUCAGCUCCAUCAUCUUACCAGCACAAACGGCCUUCCUGAAGACAAAAUGCAUCCACGACAGCUUCCUCUUUGUGUAG